AUGGCGACCGGCGCACGGGUGAGUAACACGUAUCCNACCUUCCGGUUACUCGGGGAUAGGCUUUCGAAAGAAAGAUUAAUACCCGAUGUUGCGUAUCUUUCUCCUGAAAGAUACGCCAAAGGAUUCCGGUAACCGAUGGGGAUGCGUUCCAUUAGGCAGUUGGCGGGGUAACGGCCCACCAAACCUUCGAUGGAUAGGGGUUCUGAGAGGAAGGUCCCCCACAUUGGAACUGAGACACGGUCCAAACUCCUACGGGAGGCAGCAGUGAGGAAUAUUGGUCAAUGGACGGAAGUCUGAACCAGCCAAGUAGCGUGAAGGAUGACUGCCCUCUGGGUUGUAAACUUCUUUUAUACGGGAAUAACAUGAGGUACGCGUACCUUAUUGCAUGUACCGUUAUGAAUAAGCAUCGGCUAACUCCGUGCCAGCAGCCGCGGUAAUACGGAGGAUGCGAGCGUUAUCCGGAUUUAUUGGGUUUAAAGGGAGCGUAGGUGGGAUAUUAAGUCAGCUGUGAAAGUUUGGGGCUCAACCUUAAAAUUGCAGUUGAUACUGGUUUCCUUGAGUACGGUACAGGUGGGCGGAAUUCGUGGUGUAGCGGUGAAAUGCUUAGAUAUCACGAAGAACUCCGAUCGCGAAGGCAGCUCACCGGGCCGGAACUGACACUGAUGCUCGAAAGUGCGGGUAUCAAACAGGAUUAGAUACCCUGGUAGUCCGCACAGUAAACGAUG
This 725-nucleotide ribosomal RNA is filed under the name uncultured bacterium. RNAcentral's name for it is "bacterial SSU rRNA". It matches the Rfam family "Bacterial small subunit ribosomal RNA", at positions 88 to 811 of the family's 1533-position model. The record is from RNAcentral.